CACAGCAGAGGACAGACGACUGAGACCAGAGGUAGGACAAAGACUCCAUGUUUGUCAUCUGCAACACAUUUAUCUCAUUUUAUAUAUUCCAUCUUAUUUUGAGAUUUUGACAUUCUUUUAUACUUUGUGUUAGAGUAAGAUAAUCCAACUUUUUCAAUUUCAAAUAAGGGAAAUCCCCUAAACUCUGGAUAACUGUUUAGGCAUUAUAUCUGAAUCCGUUUUCAUAAUCAUUGUUUCUGCUUUCCUCUUAGAAAUUUCGCUGCUUGUCUUGAUUUGAGUUGGAAAAAUGUCACAAAAUACUAACUGCGGAGGAGUUGGGCCCAACACUGACCACGGCAACUCGACUGGCAGCAUUUUUUAACCGGUAAACUCUGGAACCAUUGGAUCAGGGAAUACCAUAAACACUGGAGCGAAAGGCAAAGUGCAAAUGGGAAACGUGACAGAUAUUAAUGUGGUAGCCAAAACAGGACUCCUUGGUUCAGGAUGCAAUACGAUCAACAAAUGAGGUGAGAAGAAAGAUUUAUUCAGCUUUAUUCCUCUAACAGAACAGAGUAACAGAUGUGUGCAUAUAGCAUGUGUGUUCAUUCUCCCUGCGCAUUUGUCACUGUAAAAAUAUAUAAUACAUUUUCCCAUCAUGCAUUGGACUCACCCUUUUAGAAAUCUGCUCUCCGACAGAUCAACUCAAAUGUGGUUCACAAAGUAUUAAAAAUUGAAGUCAUCGUUGAUUUGAGAAGUAUUGAUGAUAAUAAAGACCACAUGUAACAUCUGCA
This is a long non-coding RNA of Limanda limanda (common dab), 770 nucleotides long. RefSeq lists it as uncharacterized. Lineage: Eukaryota; Metazoa; Chordata; Actinopteri; Pleuronectiformes; Pleuronectidae. The record is from RefSeq and is a predicted model, not a curated record. The transcript has 3 exons.